RNAcentral lists this ribosomal RNA (273 nucleotides) under uncultured Aeromicrobium sp. RNAcentral's name for it is "partial 16S ribosomal RNA". It matches the Rfam family "Bacterial small subunit ribosomal RNA", at positions 524 to 796 of the family's 1533-position model. The record is from RNAcentral. Lineage: Bacteria; Bacillati; Actinomycetota; Actinomycetes; Propionibacteriales; Nocardioidaceae.
UACGUAGGGUCCGAGCGUUGUCCGGAAUUAUUGGGCGUAAAGGGCUCGUAGGCGGUUUGUCGCGUCGGGAGUGAAAACUCGGGGCUCAACCCUGAGCGUGCUUCCGAUACGGGCAGACUAGAGGUAUGCAGGGGAGAACGGAAUUCCUGGUGUAGCGGUGGAAUGCGCAGAUAUCAGGAGGAACACCGGUGGCGAAGGCGGUUCUCUGGGCAUUACCUGACGCUGAGGAGCGAAAGCAUGGGGAGCGAACAGGAUUAGAAACCCUAGUAGUCC